RNAcentral lists this ribosomal RNA (932 nucleotides) under uncultured bacterium. RNAcentral describes it as "bacterial SSU rRNA". It matches the Rfam family "Bacterial small subunit ribosomal RNA", at positions 56 to 982 of the family's 1533-position model. The record is from RNAcentral.
UGCAAGUCGAACGGCAGCACGGGUGCUUGCACCUGGUGGCGAGUGGCGAACGGGUGAGUAAUACAUCGGAACAUGUCCUGUAGUGGGGGAUAGCCCGGCGAAAGCCGGAUUAAUACCGCAUACGAUCUACGGAUGAAAGCGGGGGAUCUUUGGACCUCGCGCUAUAGGGUUGGCCGAUGGCUGAUUAGCUAGUUGGUGGGGUAAAGGCCUACCAAGGCGACGAUCAGUAGCUGGUCUGAGAGGACGACCAGCCACACUGGGACUGAGACACGGCCCAGACUCCUACGGGAGGCAGCAGUGGGGAAUUUUGGACAAUGGGCGAAAGCCUGAUCCAGCAAUGCCGCGUGUGUGAAGAAGGCCUUCGGGUUGUAAAGCACUUUUGUCCGGAAAGAAAUCCUGAGGGCUAAUAUCCUUCGGGGAUGACGGUACCGGAAGAAUAAGCACCGGCUAACUACGUGCCAGCAGCCGCGGUAAUACGUAGGGUGCGAGCGUUAAUCGGAAUUACUGGGCGUAAAGCGUGCGCAGGCGGUUUGUUAAGACCGAUGUGAAAUCCCCGGGCUCAACCUGGGAACUGCAUUGGUGACUGGCAAGCUAGAGUAUGGCAGAGGGGGGUAGAAUUCCACGUGUAGCAGUGAAAUGCGUAGAGAUGUGGAGGAAUACCGAUGGCGAAGGCAGCCCCCUGGGCCAAUACUGACGCUCAUGCACGAAAGCGUGGGGAGCAAACAGGAUUAGAUACCCUGGUAGUCCACGCCCUAAACGAUGUCAACUAGUUGUUGGGGAUUCAUUUCCUUAGUCACGUAGCUAACGCGUGAAGUUGACCGCCUGGGGAGUACGGUCGCAAGAUUAAAACUCAAAGGAAUUGACGGGGACCCGUACAAGCGGUGGAUGAUGUGGAUUAAUUCGAUGCAACGCGAAAAACCUUACCUACCCUU